GCCAGUAUUUUGUAUGGGCCUCAUGAUAAAACAAGGCCACGUGUUUCAACAUUCAGAAUAAGUGUUGCCUCAUUAUGUUGUGCCCUGUUCAAAGUUGACUUUAAAGACUGUCAUUUUAAUCAUACUGCCAUGUAAGAUCUUUAAAUUUGUUGAACCAUGGAUUGGGCAAUCAUAAAUCUAUAAAGAUCUCUUCACUUAUAAUCUUGUUCUACUGAAAGUGCCUACACAAUCACAAAGGAUGAAUUCAAGG
Long non-coding RNA from Biomphalaria glabrata, 250 nucleotides. RefSeq lists it as uncharacterized. NCBI's taxonomy places the organism in Eukaryota, Metazoa, Mollusca, Gastropoda, Planorbidae. The transcript is spliced from 3 exons. The record is from RefSeq and is a predicted model, not a curated record.